CACGUAGGGACCAAGCGUUGUCCGGAAUUAUUGGGCGUAAAGAGCUCGUAGGCGGUGUGUCGCGUCGGCCGUGAAAACCUGCAGCUUAACUGUGGGCUUGCGGUCGAUACGGGCAUCACUGGAGUUCGGCAGGGGAGACUGGAAUUCCUGGUGUAGCGGUGAAAUGCGCAGAUAUCAGGAGGAACACCGGUGGCGAAGGCGGGUCUCUGGGCCGAUACUGACGCUGAGGAGCGAAAGCGUGGGGAGCGAACAGG
This 254-nucleotide ribosomal RNA is filed under the name uncultured bacterium. Its description in RNAcentral is "partial 16S ribosomal RNA". It matches the Rfam family "Bacterial small subunit ribosomal RNA", at positions 524 to 776 of the family's 1533-position model. The record is from RNAcentral.